Long non-coding RNA from Sebastes umbrosus (honeycomb rockfish), 477 nucleotides. RefSeq lists it as uncharacterized. The transcript has 3 exons. The record is from RefSeq and is a predicted model, not a curated record. NCBI's taxonomy places the organism in Eukaryota, Metazoa, Chordata, Actinopteri, Perciformes, Sebastidae.
CGCUUCUGCCAGUCUCCUGCAAUCAGCACACCUGCCCAUCAAUCAAGAGAGCUCCUCUUCACUUCAACCACUUCACUCCAACGGCCUGUCCUCCACUCGAUCGCUGCGGGGCCCUGUUGUGUUGAUAUCUUGAGCAGGAAAGCCAUGUUUACCUGCUGUGAUGACAUCCCGUCCUCCCUGGAAGGUCUCGUCAUCGAAAUGGUGCUCCUCGCUCAGCGCAAAAAUCACGUCCACUUUUGCGUUGCUAAAGUACAUUUUGGCGAUGGAAGUUCGGAACAUGACAGUUGAGAGGAGAGAGGUGGACGUGCCUGUAGAGGAACAGGCCCUCUGCACCUUCGUGGCUUUCCAACUCACAGUCAGGCUGAAGUCCCGUCCCUCAGAGGCAGCGAUGUCUCGGCAGACCUCAGCUGUCUUUCUGAGGAUCGCCCUUUGUGUGAUGUCACGGUGAGUGGUGGAAUUCCCAUCAAAUGCAAAGAG